This 945-nucleotide ribosomal RNA is filed under the name uncultured archaeon. Its description in RNAcentral is "bacterial SSU rRNA". It matches the Rfam family "Archaeal small subunit ribosomal RNA", at positions 1 to 940 of the family's 1478-position model. The record is from RNAcentral.
GGCCGCGGGAAUUCGAUUUCUGGUUGAUCCUGCCAGACCCGACUGCUAUCAGAGUGGGACUAAGCCAUGCGAGUCAACAUAGCAAUGCGUGGCGAACGGCUCAGUAACACGUAGUCAACAUGCCCAGGGGACGUGGAUAACCUCGGGAAACUGAGAUUAAACCGCGAUAGGUCAAGAUUUCUGGAAUGGAUCCUGGCUUAAAUCUACAUGGCCCCUGGAUUGGACUGCGGCCGAUCAGGCUGUUGGUGAGGUAAUGGCCCACCAAACCUAUAACCGGUACGGGCUCUGAGAGGAGAAGCCCGGAGAUGGGCACUGAGACAAGGGCCCAGGCCCUAUGGGGCGCAGCAGGCGCGAAAACUCUGCAAUGGGCGAAAGCCUGACAGGGUUACUCUGAGUGAUUUCCGCUAAGGAGAUCUUUUGGCAGCUCUAAAAAUGGUGCAGAAUAAGGGGUGGGCAAGUCUGGUGUCAGCCGCCGCGGUAAUACCAGCACCCCGAGUGGUCGGGACGAUUAUUGGGCCUAAAGCAUCCGUAGCCGGUUGUGCAAGUCCUCCGUUAAAUCCAGCCGCUCAACGGAUGGGCUGCGGAGGAUACUACAGAACUAGGAGGCGGGAGAGGCAAGCGGUACUUAGUGGGUAGGGGUAAAAUCCUUUGAUCCAUUGAAGACCACCAGUGGCGAAGGCGGCUUGCCAGAACGAGCUCGACGGUGAGGGAUGAAAGCUGGGGGAGCAAACCGGAUUAGAUACCCGGGUAGUCCCAGCUGUAAACGAUGCAGACUCGGUGAUGGGCUAGCCUCGUGUCAGCCCAGUGCCGCAGGGAAGCCGUUAAGUCUGCCGCCUGGGGAGUACGGUCGCAAGACUGAAACUUAAAGGAAUUGGCGGGGGAGCACCACAAGGGGUGAAGCCUGCGGUUCAAUUGGACUCAACGCCGGAAAUCACUAGUGAAUUC